This 377-nucleotide long non-coding RNA is filed under the name Homo sapiens (human). RNAcentral's name for it is "HSALNT0041109". Lineage: Eukaryota; Metazoa; Chordata; Mammalia; Primates; Hominidae. The record is from RNAcentral.
UACACUCGACUUUUUGAAGAGGAGUGGCAAGGAACACCUGGAGGCUGAUGAAGACAAUAAUAGUUAAAAGAACAGAAAACGUGAAUGGAUAUGGAGGUCGUUUUUAGGUGACUGGAGGUGCCACUGACAGUGAGUGGAUAGAGGAAGCCGAGUAUGCUUGAAUUUCUAUGGGAAGACAUGGAUCCGUGAGGCUACAUUUGGAAGCUAAACCUCACUGAUAGAGCAGAGAUUUCUGAACCAUGAGGAAAUGGAGGAGGAACAUGUGACAGAGCUUCAGAAAUAGAAACUAUGCCAAUGUCAACAAUUUCUAAGGACAUUUAGAGAAGACGGGUUGAAGAAAGAAGUUGCAUGCUGGAGACCAAUUAACAGGUAAAACA